Molecule: ribosomal RNA, 163 nt
Filed under: Mycoblastus sanguinarius
Lineage: Eukaryota; Fungi; Ascomycota; Lecanoromycetes; Lecanorales; Mycoblastaceae
Description: partial 18S ribosomal RNA
Source: RNAcentral
AGAUCAAACACGAGUGGCCGUCUCCUCUUCCCUAGCGGAAGUCCUGUUGCUCGUUUUGCUCGGGACGUAGUUGGGGGGAAAUACAGAGUCGGUUAAGAUAUGACCGUAGCAGCUUCGCAAGGAGACUGACGCCCUAGUUCCGUAGGUGAACCUGCGGAAGGAU